AGUGAACGCUGGCGGUAGGCCUAACACAUGCAAGUCGAACGGCAGCACAGUAAGAGCUUGCUCUUACGGGUGGCGAGUGGCGGACGGGUGAGGAAUACAUCGGAAUCUACUUUUUCGUGGGGGAUAACGUAGGGAAACUUACGCUAAUACCGCAUACGACCUACGGGUGAAAGCAGGGGAUCUUCGGACCUUGCGCGAUUGAAUGAGCCGAUGUCGGAUUAGCUAGUUGGCGGGGUAAAGGCCCACCAAGGCGACGAUCCGUAGCUGGUCUGAGAGGAUGAUCAGCCACACUGGAACUGAGACACGGUCCAGACUCCUACGGGAGGCAGCAGUGGGGAAUAUUGGACAAUGGGCGCAAGCCUGAUCCAGCCAUACCGCGUGGGUGAAGAAGGCCUUCGGGUUGUAAAGCCCUUUUGUUGGGAAAGAAAAGCAGCAGGUUAAUACCCCGCUGUCCUGACGGUACCCAAGGAAUAAGCACCGGCUAACUUCGUG
Molecule: ribosomal RNA, 492 nt
Filed under: uncultured bacterium
Lineage: Bacteria
Description: partial 16S ribosomal RNA
Rfam family: Bacterial small subunit ribosomal RNA
Source: RNAcentral